Long non-coding RNA from Dermochelys coriacea (leatherback sea turtle), 156 nucleotides. RefSeq lists it as uncharacterized. The record is from RefSeq and is a predicted model, not a curated record. The transcript is spliced from 3 exons. NCBI's taxonomy places the organism in Eukaryota, Metazoa, Chordata, Testudines, Dermochelyidae.
AACUUACAGAAAUAGUAAAUAAUAGCAAGGAAAUGCAUUAGAGUAUCUUUUGUUUUAGCUUGUGAAUUUUCCUUGUGCUAAGAGGGAGGUUUAUCCCUGUUUUUGUAAAUUUGAAGCUUUGCCUAGAGGGGAGUCCUCUGUGUUUUAAAUGUUUUU